GGUUUGAUCAUGGCUCAGAUUGAACGCUGGCGGGAUGCUUUGCAUGCAAGUCGAACGGCACAUACGGACUUCGGUCUGGUGGCGAGUGGCGAACAGGUGAGUAAUGUAUCAGGAACGUGCCUAGUAGCGGGGGAUAACUACGCGAAAGCGUAGCUAAUACCGCAUACGCCCUUCCAGGAAAGCGGGGACCUUCCGGGCCUCGCACUAUUAAACGAAGCCGAUAUCGGAUUAGCUAGUUGGUGCAGAAUUAACGGCUGCCGGGCGACGAUCCGUAGCUGGUUUGAGAGGACGACCAGCCACACUGGGACUGAGACACGGCCAGACUCCUACGGGAGGCAGCAGUGGGGGUAUUUUUGGACAAUGGGGAAACCUGAUCCAGCCAUCCCGCGUGCGAUGAAGGCCUUCGGGUUGUAAAGCACUUUUGGCAGGAAAGAAACGGCACGGGAUAAUACCCCGUGCAGCCUUCAGUACUGCAGAAUAAGCACCGGCUAACCGUGCCAGCAGCCGCGGUAAUACGUAGGGUGCAAGCGUUAAUCGGAAUUACUGGGCGUAAAGCGUGCGCGACGGUUCCGGAAAGAAAGAUGUGAAAUCCCAGAGCUUAACUUUGGAACUGCAUUUUUAACUACCGAGCUAGAGUGUGUCAGAGGGAGGUGGAAUUCCGCGUGCCAGCAGUGAUGCGUAGAUAUGCGGAGGAACACCGAUAGCGAAGGCAGCCUCCUGGGAUAACACUGACUCAUGCACGAAAGCAUUGGGAGCAAACAGGAUUAGAUACCCUGGUAGUCCACGUCCUAAACGAUGUCAACUAGCUGUUAAGGGCCUUCGGGCCUUGGUAGCGCAGCUAACGCGUGAAGUUGACCGCCUGGGGAGUACGGUCGCAAGAUUAAAACUCAAAGGAAUUGACGGGGACCCGCACAAGCGGUGGAUGAUGUGGAUUAAUUCGAUGCAACGCAGAAAACCUUACCUACCCUUGACAUGUCUGGAAUCCCGAAAGAGAUUUGGGGAGUGCUCGCAAGAGAACCGGAACACAGGUGCUGUGGCUGUCGUCAGCUCAGUCGUGAGGAUGUUGAGUUGUUCCUGUGAGCUCGCCUGCUCAUUAGUUACGAGAGCGCUAUAAUGAGACCCGCUGCCGGUGACAAACCGGAGGAAGGUGGGGAUGACGUCAAGUCCUCAUGGCCCUUAUGGGUAGGGGCUUCACGUCAUACAAUGGUCGGGACAGAGGGUCGCCAACCCCGCAAGGGGCCAAUCCCAGAAACCCGAUCGUAGUCCGGAUCACCAGUCUGCAACUCGACUGCGUGAAGUCAGAAUCGCUAGUAAUCGCGGAUCAGCAUGUCGCGGUGAAUACGUUCCCGGGUCUUGUACACACCGCCCGUCACACCAUGGGAGUGGGUUUUACCAGAAGUAGUUAGCCUAACCGUAAGGAGGGCGAUUACCACGGUAGGAUUCAUGACUGGGUUGAAGUCGUAACAGGUAA
Molecule: ribosomal RNA, 1471 nt
Filed under: uncultured Bordetella sp.
Lineage: Bacteria; Pseudomonadati; Pseudomonadota; Betaproteobacteria; Burkholderiales; Alcaligenaceae
Description: partial 16S-23S ribosomal RNA intergenic spacer
Rfam family: Bacterial small subunit ribosomal RNA
Source: RNAcentral